This 462-nucleotide ribosomal RNA is filed under the name uncultured Acholeplasma sp. Its description in RNAcentral is "bacterial SSU rRNA". It matches the Rfam family "Bacterial small subunit ribosomal RNA", at positions 920 to 1378 of the family's 1533-position model. Lineage: Bacteria; Bacillati; Mycoplasmatota; Mollicutes; Acholeplasmatales; Acholeplasmataceae. The record is from RNAcentral.
GGGACCCCGCACAAGCGGUGGAUCAUGUUGUUUAAUUCGAUGAUACGCGAAGAACCUUACCAGGUCUUGACAUCCCCUGCAAAGCUAUAGAGAUAUAGUGGAGGUUAUCAGGGAGACAGGUUGGUGCAUGGUUGUCGUCAGCUCGUGUCGUGAGAUGUUGGGUUAAGUCCCGCAACGAGCGCAACCCUUAUUGCUAGUUACCAUCAUUCAGUUGGGGACUCUAGCGAGACUGCCAGUGAUAAACUGGAGGAAGGUGGGAUGACGUCAAAUCAUCAUGCCCCUUAUGACCUGGGCUACAAACGUGCUACAAUGGGUGGUACAAAGAGAUGCAAUCUCGCAAGAGCAAGCAAACCUCAAAAAGCCAUCCUCAGUUCGGAUUGGAGUCUGCAACUCGACUCCAUGAAGUCGGAAUCGCUAGUAAUCGCGGAUCAGCACGCCGCGGUGAAUACGUUCCCGGGCCUU